GAAUAGGCUUAGGGAUAGAAGUGGAAAUCCUUUCUCAGCGAAGGCCUGGGGCUCACAGAGAAAGAUUGAGAGCGGAUAGCCUGACCGAAA
This 90-nucleotide small RNA is filed under the name Algoriphagus iocasae. RNAcentral describes it as "Flavo-1 RNA". It matches the Rfam family "Flavo-1 RNA". The record is from RNAcentral. Lineage: Bacteria; Pseudomonadati; Bacteroidota; Cytophagia; Cytophagales; Cyclobacteriaceae.